CCGUGAGACUCAUCUCACAUCUGAAUACUAAAUGGCACCUUGCGGGAAUUCUACAUCCGCGGAAAGCCAUACUGCACCUCGCGGGGUCUUACUAUGCCUGGCGGCAAGCAGAAUAUAAGUCGUAGGACCUGCUGAUCCUACGCCUAGGACCGUGUCCCCCCUAGGAAGGGAUUGGGUUCCGCCCACCUAGAAGGCUAAUAUGUGCACACAGGCCGAUGUCUAACCCCAUCGACUAUAGGUGUCCUGUAGAUACUACCAGGCCAUGCAUAAAUGCCAUAAUGCACCUUCCAAUACUGUACUAAAAAGGAGUAUAAUCAAGACUACCACUCACUUGGCCACGACCCAAUCAUAACUAACAUCAGGGUUGGGAGUGAGGAAUCAUGGGAGUGCAAUGCAACUCAAUAUAUCACUGAAAAGGCUCUACAAGUCUUUGAAAUAGAGGAAAUGAAAUCAAUUUACAAAAGAAGUCAUUUCACAAUUUGGAACCAAUUUAACUACUCAUCUACCCCUUGUAAUUCCUCUCAAUGUUCCCUCAAAUGCAUGUACAAAAUAAUUAAACAUGGAGAAAAAAGAUUAUAGAGGAAUCUACUACAAUAUCAAUUAAUAUGCACAAGUGGAAUCAAUUCACACUUGGCGACAUUCAUGAAAAU
RNAcentral lists this long non-coding RNA (650 nucleotides) under Phoenix dactylifera (date palm). Its description in RNAcentral is "long non-coding RNA (PDAC_LNC019778)". Lineage: Eukaryota; Viridiplantae; Streptophyta; Magnoliopsida; Arecales; Arecaceae. The record is from RNAcentral.